GACGAACGCUGGCGGCGUGCUUAACACAUGCAAGUCGAACGGAAAGGCCCUGCUUUUGUGGGGUGCUCGAGUGGCGAACGGGUGAGUAACACGUGAGUAACCUGCCCUUGACUUUGGGAUAACUUCAGGAAACUGGGGCUAAUACCGGAUAGGAGCUCCUGCUGCAUGGUGGGGGUUGGAAAGUUUCGGGGGUUGGGGAUGGACUCGCGGCUUAUCAGCUUGUUGGUGGGGUAGUGGCUUACCAAGGCUUUGACGGGUAGCCGGCCUGAGAGGGGGACCGGGCACAAUGGGAAGGAGAUACGGCACAGAAUACAAAGGGAGGCAGCAGGGGGGAAUAGUGCAAAAUGGGAGGAAGCAGGAUGAAGAAAAGGCGGGGGGGGGAAGAAGGGCUUCGGGGUGGAAAAAGCAUUCGACUGGGAAGAAGCGUGAGUGACGGUAAUGGGUAAAGAAGAACCGGCUAACUACGUG
Molecule: ribosomal RNA, 468 nt
Filed under: uncultured bacterium
Lineage: Bacteria
Description: partial 16S ribosomal RNA
Rfam family: Bacterial small subunit ribosomal RNA
Source: RNAcentral